AAAAAAGAAAAAAACAAAACAUUCCCAUGUUUCUUGUUCCCAUUCUUUUUGUUUGUUUCUUCUUUAUUUUUUCCAACUGUU
Molecule: non-coding RNA, 81 nt
Filed under: Striatella unipunctata
Lineage: Eukaryota; Bacillariophyta; Striatellaphyceae; Striatellales; Striatellaceae
Source: RNAcentral